This 405-nucleotide ribosomal RNA is filed under the name uncultured bacterium. RNAcentral's name for it is "bacterial SSU rRNA". It matches the Rfam family "Bacterial small subunit ribosomal RNA", at positions 29 to 459 of the family's 1533-position model. The record is from RNAcentral.
AGCGAACGCUGGCGGCAGGCUUAACACAUGCAAGUCGAACGGGCGUAGCAAUACGUCAGUGGCAGACGGGUGAGUAACGCGUGGGAACGUACCUUUUGGUUCGGAACAACCCAGGGGAAACUUGGGCUAAUACCGGAUAAGCCCUUACGGGGAAAGAUUUAUCGCCGAAAGAUCGGCCCGCGUCUGAUUAGCUAGUUGGUGAGGUAACGGCUCACCAAGGCGACGAUCAGUAGCUGGUCUGAGAGGAUGAUCAGCCACAUUGGGACUGAGACACGGCCCAAACUCCUACGGGAGGCAGCAGUGGGGAAUAUUGGACAAUGGGCGCAAGCCUGAUCCAGCCAAUGCCGCGUGAGUGAUGAAGGCCUAGGGUUGUAAAGCUCUUUUACCGGGAAGAUAAUGACUGUA